CCUACGGGGGGCAGCAGUGGGGAAUUUUGGACAAUGGGGGCAACCCUGAUCCAGCCAUUCCGCGUGAGUGAAGAAGGCCUUCGGGUUGUAAAGCUCUUUCGGCAGGAACGAAACGGUGAGCUCUAACAUAGCUUGCUAAUGACGGUACCUGAAGAAGAAGCACCGGCUAACUACGUGCCAGCAGCCGCGGUAAUACGUAGGGUGCGAGCGUUAAUCGGAAUUACUGGGCGUAAAGCGUGCGCAGGCGGUUGUGUAAGACAGGUGUGAAAUCCCCG
RNAcentral lists this ribosomal RNA (275 nucleotides) under uncultured Methyloversatilis sp. RNAcentral's name for it is "partial 16S ribosomal RNA". It matches the Rfam family "Bacterial small subunit ribosomal RNA", at positions 338 to 605 of the family's 1533-position model. The record is from RNAcentral. Lineage: Bacteria; Pseudomonadati; Pseudomonadota; Betaproteobacteria; Nitrosomonadales; Sterolibacteriaceae.